RNAcentral lists this ribosomal RNA (461 nucleotides) under uncultured bacterium. RNAcentral's name for it is "bacterial SSU rRNA". It matches the Rfam family "Bacterial small subunit ribosomal RNA", at positions 331 to 793 of the family's 1533-position model. The record is from RNAcentral.
CCAGACUCCUACGGGAGGCAGCAGUGGGGAAUAUUGCACAAUGGGGGGAACCCUGAUGCAGCGACGCCGCGUGGGUGAAGGAGCACCUCGGUGCGUAAAGCCCUAUCGGCAGGGAAGAAAAGCGAACAGGUUCGCCUGGACGGUACCUGACUAAGAAGCCCCGGCUAACUACGUGCCAGCAGCCGCGGGAAUACGUAGGGGGCAAGCGUUAUCCGGAUUCACUGGGUGUAAAGGGAGCGUAGACGGCGACGCAAGUCUGGAGUGAAAGCCCGGGGCCCAACCCCGGGACUGCUCUGGAAACUGCGUCGCUGGAGUACGGGAGGGGCAGGCGGAAUUCCUGGUGUAGCGGUGAAAUGCGUAGAUAUCAGGAGGAACAUCGGUGGCGUAAGCGCUUUACUGGGCCGUAAUUGACGCUGAGGAACGAAAGCCAGGGUAGCAAAUGGGAUUAGAUACCCGUGUAU